CCCUUCAGCUCAGGCCACCAGGUCUGUCUCUGGGCCCCUCUUGCAGCUGAUCAUGGUGUAGGUGCUGAGGACACAUGGCGAGUUCCUUCCCUCCCCUCGGGGGCAGGUGUACAGACAGAGAAACCUAGAUGCCCCAGGAGCUCAACUCUGCAACUGUCAUCAUGAAAAAUGCCAAAUGAGAAGUAUACUAGGAGUGAUGGACUUAUUUGCUGGCUUCCACAUUGUUGGGAAAGGAUGGGCAAUUUGAUUGAUUCUCAAGAGUUCUGCUAGUACUGUUUGAAGCCAACAGUUGAAGGCAUUAGAAGGAUCGAAUAUCCCGUGUGGCUGGAAGAAGAGAAAAGAGCUUCUUUGGAAUUAUAACCCAGGCAUUUUGGUUUAACUCUGCUAUCCUGUUUUCUUUGUUUGA
Microcebus murinus (gray mouse lemur) is the source of this 406-nucleotide non-coding RNA. NCBI's taxonomy places the organism in Eukaryota, Metazoa, Chordata, Mammalia, Primates, Cheirogaleidae. The record is from RefSeq and is a predicted model, not a curated record.